CCGCAGAACAUCAAUUUGCAAAGUACCCAGCUAGCACAAUAGCAGCAUCGAGUAUAGCCGCUUCAAUGAGUGGGCUAAAAUGUCAUCUUCGCACAGGCCAUAAUCUUCCCUUUUUAUUAGGUCUACUUACGGACUUAACCAGCAUCGAACAAGUUCAACUGCAAGAGUGUAUGUUGCAUAUGGAGAACAUUUUUGAAGAGCACAGUCGCAACCUGCAGCCGUUUUUUGUUGACAUUCAACCUCCUAACUCUGCAAAAAUGUACUGCCAGAGACGUAAUCAGACUCAUCCAAACCAGCAAUAUCAUCAGCAGCGCCCGCAACGCAUGAGGCAAAUGCCAAUACCCUCCCUAACAUUUACUACUGCUGACACCAACGCUGAUCAAAAUUGCUUUAAGGCUACCCUACCCUAUCGGACGCAAACAUUUAAGAUUCUAGGGCAGGCUAAAAAUGAGUUACAAGACAUACAAUUUUGAGAAAAGUAUUUUUUGAGCUAGUAUAUUAAAUAUUAGUAUUUAAAUAUAUAUUAGUUUCCUCCAAGUCUUUGUAAAUUAAAUUACACAUAAAAAAGAAGAAUACAUAAUAAUUAA
Molecule: long non-coding RNA, 587 nt
Organism: Drosophila miranda
Lineage: Eukaryota; Metazoa; Arthropoda; Insecta; Diptera; Drosophilidae
Exons: 2
Source: RefSeq, a predicted model, not a curated record